Molecule: ribosomal RNA, 543 nt
Filed under: Alternaria arborescens
Lineage: Eukaryota; Fungi; Ascomycota; Dothideomycetes; Pleosporales; Pleosporaceae
Description: eukaryotic LSU rRNA
Rfam family: 5.8S ribosomal RNA (bases 183-336)
Source: RNAcentral
CUGCGGAGGGAUCAUUACACAAAUAUGAAGGCGGGCUGGAACCUCUCGGGGUUACAGCCUUGCUGAAUUAUUCACCCUUGUCUUUUGCGUACUUCUUGUUUCCUUGGUGGGUUCGCCCACCACUAGGACAAACAUAAACCUUUUGUAAUUGCAAUCAGCGUCAGUAACAAAUUAAUAAUUACAACUUUCAACAACGGAUCUCUUGGUUCUGGCAUCGAUGAAGAACGCAGCGAAAUGCGAUAAGUAGUGUGAAUUGCAGAAUUCAGUGAAUCAUCGAAUCUUUGAACGCACAUUGCGCCCUUUGGUAUUCCAAAGGGCAUGCCUGUUCGAGCGUCAUUUGUACCCUCAAGCUUUGCUUGGUGUUGGGCGUCUUGUCUCUAGCUUUGCUGGAGACUCGCCUUAAAGUAAUUGGCAGCCGGCCUACUGGUUUCGGAGCGCAGCACAAGUCGCACUCUCUAUCAGCAAAGGUCUAGCAUCCAUUAAGCCUUUUUUCAACUUUUGACCUCGGAUCAGGUAGGGAUACCCGCUGAACUUAAGCAUAUC